GAUGAACGCUAGCGGGAGGCUUAACACAUGCAAGUCGAGGGGCAGCAUAGGGUAGCAAUACUCUGAUGGCGACCGGCAAACGGGUGAGUAACGCGUAUGCAACCUACCCUGUACAGGGGGAUAACCCGGAGAAAUUCGGACUAAUAUCCCGUAAUAAUAUCCGGAGGCAUCUUUGGAUAUUUAAAGUUCCGACGGUACGGGAUGGGCAUGCGUAACAUUAGCUGGUUGGUAAGGUAACGGCUUACCAAGGCUAUGAUGUUUAGGGGUCCUGAGAGGGUGGUCCCCCACACUGGUACUGAGACACGGACCAGACUCCUACGGGAGGCAGCAGUGAGGAAUAUUGGUCAAUGGGCGCAAGCCUGAACCAGCCAUCCCGCGUGCAGGAAGACGGCCCUAUGGGUUGUAAACUGCUUUUCCAGGGAGAGAAACUUACGCACGUGUUGCGUGACUGACGGUACCCUGGGAAUAAGCAUCGGCUAACUCCGUGCCAGCAGCCGCGGUAAUCAA
This 507-nucleotide ribosomal RNA is filed under the name uncultured bacterium. RNAcentral describes it as "bacterial SSU rRNA". It matches the Rfam family "Bacterial small subunit ribosomal RNA", at positions 28 to 525 of the family's 1533-position model. The record is from RNAcentral.